Molecule: ribosomal RNA, 540 nt
Filed under: uncultured bacterium
Lineage: Bacteria
Description: bacterial SSU rRNA
Rfam family: Bacterial small subunit ribosomal RNA
Source: RNAcentral
UGAGGAAUAUUGGUCAAUGGGCGAGAGCCUGAACCAGCCAAGUAGCGUGCAGGAUGACGGCCCUAUGGGUUGUAAACUGCUUUUGUAUGGGGAUAAAGUCAAUCACGUGUGAUUGUUUGCAGGUACCAUACGAAUAAGGACCGGCUAAUUCCGUGCCAGCAGCCGCGGUAAUACGGAAGGUCCGGGCGUUAUCCGGAUUUAUUGGGUUUAAAGGGAGCGUAGGCUGGAGAUUAAGUGUGUUGUGAAAUGUAGACGCUCAACGUCUGACUUGCAGCGCAUACUGGUUUCCUUGAGUACGCACAACGUUGGCGGAAUUCGUCGUGUAGCGGUGAAAUGCUUAGAUAUGACGAAGAACUCCGAUUGCGAAGGCAGCUGACGGGAGCGCAACUGACGCUGAAGCUCGAAGGUGCGGGUAUCGAACAGGAUUAGAUACCCUGGUAGUCCGCACAGUAAACGAUGGAUGCCCGCUGUUGGUACCUGGUAUCAGCGGCUAAGCGAAAGCAUUAAGCAUCCCACCUGGGGAGUACGCCAGCAACGGUG